This 245-nucleotide ribosomal RNA is filed under the name uncultured verrucomicrobium DEV114. RNAcentral's name for it is "partial 16S ribosomal RNA". It matches the Rfam family "Bacterial small subunit ribosomal RNA", at positions 524 to 768 of the family's 1533-position model. Lineage: Bacteria; Pseudomonadati; Verrucomicrobiota. The record is from RNAcentral.
UACAGAGGUCCCAAGCGUUGUUCGGAUUCACUGGGCGUAAAGGGUGCGCAGGUGGCGGGGUAAGUUUGAUGUGAAAUCUCCGGGCUCAACCCGGAAAAUGCAUUGAAUACUAUCCUGCUAGAGGGUUGGAGGGGAGACUGGAAUUCUCGGUGUAGCAGUGAAAUGCGUAGAUAUCGAGAGGAACACCAGUGGCGAAGGCGAGUCUCUGGACAACUCCUGACACUGAGGCACGAAAGCUAGGGGAG